UGAACCUCUAACUUUAUACCGUUAACCGGUUAAAAGACAGUUUCAGGUGGGCAGUUUGACUGGGGCGGUCGCCUCCUAAAAGGCAACGGAGGCGCACAAAGGUUUCCUCAGAUCGGUCAGAAAUCGAUCUUAGAGUGUAAAGGCAAAAGGAAGCUUGACUGUGAGACAAACAAGUCGAGCAGAGACGAAAGUCGGUCUUAGUGAUCUGACGCUGCUGUGUGGAAAGGGCGUCACUCAACGGAUAAAAGUUACUCUAGGGAUA
RNAcentral lists this ribosomal RNA (262 nucleotides) under uncultured eukaryote. Its description in RNAcentral is "partial large subunit ribosomal RNA". It matches the Rfam family "Bacterial large subunit ribosomal RNA", at positions 2215 to 2476 of the family's 2925-position model. The record is from RNAcentral.